CCCACUACUGGUUAUUGACGCCAUCUUGGGCUGUAGUUGCGAAUGCAUCUCUGUGGCAAUGGAUUCUCUCUAAGGCUUUUGCUCUUUGGUGUCACCCUGCUAGUGCAUCACUUAGCAUAGUCUGUAUGUUAAGAUGCUCAAAGCGAAGGGCGCGAUAAGUUUUUCCUUUGCAUAUGAUUGGUUACUGAUGAUGAUACUGCUUCUGGAAUAAAUAGGUGGGAUCGUCAAGGUCCAUUCAAACCAUUGCAUUUGAUGAAUCCGGCAAGAUUAUCUUUUAUUCACUCCAUACUCUAUAGACAUUUCAGGUACACUUAACCUAUCUUGCAUAUGAUUGCUUUUUUUUGCAGGUUCGUGAAGAGAGAUGAUCUGGUUUUGUGAAGGAAGGGCGAGAAAGAUUAUGUGGGGAUCAGAUUGUCCAUGGCGACCUAGGAGGAGCAGCACCAUCUCAGGUUCGUCACGUGCUCCUCUACUUCUCUUAUCUUCUUCUUCUCCAUCUCCCCAUCUAAUUAGUGUGUUCCUUUGCAGGUUGCUCCGGUCUAGUUGUGUGAAGCAACACGCAAGGUCUGCUACUGCUGUUGUGCUCCCUUGAACGAUCUGGUGAAGGACAAUUUGGUCCAUAGGUCGUCCCCCCAUGCUAUCUCUCUCUGCUGCAUAGUUAGGUUCAGUUUUUUUGUUCUCUUUCUAGUUUAAGCGUAAGUAGAUUCCAGUAGGUCUCUAUGUAUGUAGCUCAUGAGUUAGAACAUUUAAUCUAUUUACGGACUGCAGACUUGCUAUGUCAUGUGCAAACUUGCUUGCAUUCAGUUCAGAAAAUUUCUGAAUUCUCUAUUGUUUGCUUUCACUCAAUGAUUGUGGUACUAGUAGUCAAAUUAGAUGCCUCCUUUGUUGUAAUUCACUCGUUUCCCUGUCAUGGUUUAUCUUGAAUUUUGGUAGUGUGACAAACACAUUAGCAAAUCUAAAUAACUUUGACAUAUUUGCUGUAUUAUCUUGCACUGGAUUGGCACCUUUCAUUACCCUGCUUUUAUGCUUAUACCUGAUUCACAGUGCUUCAACACAGAUUUAUCCUAUGAUUAUACCUGAGACAUUAGUUUGUUUUUAUGCUUUUGUUUCCCACAGUGCUUCAAGCUUGUUUAUUAGCUCGAUUUGUUGUUAUUCUGUUUAACAGGAGCAGAAGCAGCUCAUAUGACUCUAUUGUUGUUCUUGACCUACUGUUGCUGUUGUUGUAGGAGGCGCACGCCUAGGAGAAGAGAGGGCUCAUUCCACUUGUUUGGAAGAGAAGACAAUGAAGCAUGGUGGUUAUCUGGAUAAUCUGCCUUGUGUUUUGGUUGUACUUUGUACCUAGUUAUAUUGUAUUCUGUAGUAGUCAGCACAUUCUGGAGCAGAAUCCAGUGAAGUUGUAAAAUUGUAAGAAAUGUGAGAAAUAUACUUUGUACCUAGUUCUGUUUCAUUUGAAAUAUUUGUCAUUUAUGUACUGUGAGAAAUGGAAAGCUGAUGAGUUCUUUGAUAAAAAGCGAUGUGGCUCCACUGCGAGGAAAAAUCUGACAAUUGGGAUCCAUCUAAAAA
This 1560-nucleotide long non-coding RNA is filed under the name Triticum aestivum (bread wheat). RNAcentral describes it as "long non-coding RNA (TAES_LNC008699)". The record is from RNAcentral. Lineage: Eukaryota; Viridiplantae; Streptophyta; Magnoliopsida; Poales; Poaceae.